Molecule: ribosomal RNA, 428 nt
Filed under: Martinezella rhizogenes
Lineage: Bacteria; Pseudomonadati; Pseudomonadota; Alphaproteobacteria; Hyphomicrobiales; Rhizobiaceae
Description: bacterial SSU rRNA
Rfam family: Bacterial small subunit ribosomal RNA
Source: RNAcentral
AACGAACGCUGGCGGCAGGCUUAACACAUGCAAGUCGAGCGCCCCGCAAGGGGAGCGGCAGACGGGUGAGUAACGCGUGGGAAUCUACCCUUUUCUACGGAAUAACGCAGGGAAACUUGUGCUAAUACCGUAUGUGUCCUUCGGGAGAAAGAUUUAUCGGGAAAGGAUGAGCCCGCGUUGGAUUAGCUAGUUGGUGGGGUAAAGGCCUACCAAGGCGACGAUCCAUAGCUGGUCUGAGAGGAUGAUCAGCCACAUUGGGACUGAGACACGGCCCAAACUCCUACGGGAGGCAGCAGUGGGGAAUAUUGGACAAUGGGCGCAAGCCUGAUCCAGCCAUGCCGCGUGAGUGAUGAAGGCCCUAGGGUUGUAAAGCUCUUUCACCGGAGAAGAUAAUGACGGUAUCCGGAGAAGAAGCCCCGCUAAUUCCA